AAGGCUUUAGCUUAAUUAAAGUGUUUGUUUUGCAUACAAAAGAUGUGGGUUAGUGUCCCGCAAGCCUUA
RNAcentral lists this transfer RNA (69 nucleotides) under Chromis iomelas (half-and-half chromis). RNAcentral's name for it is "tRNA-Ala". It matches the Rfam family "tRNA". From Rfam's summary of the family: Transfer RNA (tRNA) molecules are approximately 80 nucleotides in length. The record is from RNAcentral. Lineage: Eukaryota; Metazoa; Chordata; Actinopteri; Pomacentridae. RNAcentral also lists the same sequence under 6 other names.